GAUGAAGAACGUAGCGAAAUGCGAUACUUGGUGUGAAUUGCAGAAUCCCGUGAACCAUCGAGUUUUUGAACGCAAGUUGCGCCCGAAGCCGUUAGGCCGAGGGCACGCCUGCCUGGGUGUCACACAUCGUUGCCCCAAUGCCAAUCGCCUCACUUUGUAGGUAUUUGCUUGGGGUGAAUGUUGGCCUCCCGUGAGCUUUGUCUCACGGUUGGUGGAAAAUCGAGUGCAUGGUGUCGGGUGUACCAUGAUGGAUGGUGGUUGAGUGAUGAUGCUCGCGACCAAUCAUGGGUAACUCCACCAGAAUUGGGCUCGGUGACCCACAUGCGUCCCUUGGAUGCUCCCUAAGGAGACCUCAGGUCAGGCGGGGCUACCCGCUGAGUUUAAGCAUAUCAAUAAGCGGAGGA
RNAcentral lists this unclassified non-coding RNA (404 nucleotides) under soil metagenome. RNAcentral describes it as "partial contains 5.8S ribosomal RNA, internal transcribed spacer 2, and large subunit ribosomal RNA". The stretch from base 1 to 122 matches the Rfam family "5.8S ribosomal RNA", at positions 35 to 154 of the family's 154-position model. The record is from RNAcentral.